GCGGAAGUGGCUCAGUGGUAGAGCAUCUCCUUGCCAAGGAGAGGGUCGGGAGUUCGAAUCUCCUCUUCCGCUCCA
RNAcentral lists this transfer RNA (75 nucleotides) under Chloroflexota bacterium. RNAcentral's name for it is "Chloroflexi bacterium tRNA-Gly". It matches the Rfam family "tRNA". From Rfam's summary of the family: Transfer RNA (tRNA) molecules are approximately 80 nucleotides in length. Lineage: Bacteria; Bacillati; Chloroflexota. RNAcentral also lists the same sequence under 2 other names. The record is from RNAcentral.